AUGGACGCUGUGGAGUCCUCUUCGCCCUACUCGCCGCCGUCGCUGCGCCACAAGCUGCGGACCACCGUCUGCGGCUGCUUCGGCUUGCCGGGCAGCGACGGGCCGAGGCCGCAAAGUGGCGGCAGGGCCAGGUGGAGACGGCGGGUGGCGGCCGCGGGGGAGUUCAGGUACGACCCGCUCAGCUACGCGCUCAACUUCGAUGACGGCGGCAGCGGCGACGGCGAUCACGAAGCAGAGGACGCUGCCUUCCCGUACCGGAACUUCAGCUCGCGCCUGCCUCCCUCGCCGACGCCGGCCUCCCGAGCCGUCGCCAUCGCCUGA
This 321-nucleotide ribosomal RNA is filed under the name Triticum aestivum (bread wheat). Its description in RNAcentral is "partial small subunit ribosomal RNA". Lineage: Eukaryota; Viridiplantae; Streptophyta; Magnoliopsida; Poales; Poaceae. The record is from RNAcentral.